Molecule: RNase P RNA, 393 nt
Filed under: Candidatus Phosphoribacter hodrii
Lineage: Bacteria; Bacillati; Actinomycetota; Actinomycetes; Micrococcales; Dermatophilaceae
Description: RNase P RNA component class A
Rfam family: Bacterial RNase P class A
About the family: Ribonuclease P (RNase P) is a ubiquitous endoribonuclease, found in archaea, bacteria and eukarya as well as chloroplasts and mitochondria. Its best characterised activity is the generation of mature 5'-ends of tRNAs by cleaving the 5'-leader elements of precursor-tRNAs.
Source: RNAcentral
UGAGUCGGUCAGGCGGUCGCGUCAUCCGGUGCGAGCCGGGUGCCGAGGAACGUCCGGGCUCCGUAGGGCAGGGUGGUGGCUAACGGCCACCCGGAGUGAUCCGCGGGACAGUGCCACAGAAAACAGACCGCCUCGUAUGCCGGUCCGCCGGCUCGCGAGGUAAGGGUGAAACGGUGGUGUAAGAGACCACCAGCGGCCUGGGUGACCAGGUCGGCUCGGUAAACCCCACCCGGAGCAAGCUCGAACAGCAGGCGUUUGAGGGCGGCCCGCCCGAGUCUGCGGGUAGAGCGCUAGAGCCGGCCAGCAAUGGCCGGCCGAGAUGGAUGACCGUCGCUGCGGCAGCCGGAAACGGUUGCUGCGGAACAGAACCCGGCGUACCGACCGACUCAUCCA